UACGUAGGGUGCAAGCGUUGUCCGGAAUUAUUGGGCGUAAAGAGCUUGUAGGCGGCUUGUCGCGUCUGCUGUGAAAUUUCGGGGCUCAACCCCGAACUUGCAGUGGGUACGGGCAGACUAGAGUGUGGUAGGGGAGACUGGAAUUCCUGGUGUAGCGGUGAAAUGCGCAGAUAUCAGGAGGAACACCGAUGGCGAAGGCAGGUCUCUGGGCCAUAACUGACGCUGAGAAGCGAAAGCAUGGGGAGCGAACAGG
Molecule: ribosomal RNA, 253 nt
Filed under: uncultured bacterium
Lineage: Bacteria
Description: partial 16S ribosomal RNA
Rfam family: Bacterial small subunit ribosomal RNA
Source: RNAcentral